RNAcentral lists this long non-coding RNA (16249 nucleotides) under Brachypodium distachyon (stiff brome). RNAcentral describes it as "long non-coding RNA (BDIS_LNC005277)". Lineage: Eukaryota; Viridiplantae; Streptophyta; Magnoliopsida; Poales; Poaceae. The record is from RNAcentral.
UACAGCAAACAGCUUCCAGACAAGCAGCUUCCCGGAGGAAAAGGACACAGCUGCACUGACCAGUAUCUUCUAGCCGAAAAGAGGUCCAGCGCACCCAAGACACCAGCAAAACAGUAACUAAAACAACUUCGCUGCCAAACAGAUCAUCCUGCCAUUCUCACAGUCGAAGAGGAUUCCACCCCAGAGCCGCUACAAAUACUUCCUUUCUUACUUGCUCGACCAUCUUUGUUCCCCAGAGCAACAUGCUUCGACUUCCGUCUUCCCUCCUCCUGUAAUAAAGACCACAGAUUCAGCCAAAAGCUAAAAGGUUUAAUCUCUGCAAAAGGAUCAGUCCACAUACCAUUAGCUCGGUGGCUUUCAGCUUGCUAGAAUGAAGUUGUACUAUAAUGGAUACAGCUUGCUGUUCAUACAUUGGCAGUUUGGCACCGCAAGAAAAUCCUGAAACAUUCUGGUGCACAUGCAAAUUCUCUGCUAGUUGCUGAUGCACAUGAGCCACUGGACAUGCCAAUCCUCCUAAGACUCAAUGCACCAAACCCAUCCACAGAUUUUGUCCCGUAUUGGAACCAUAUUACCCCCUAAAUCCCCAUCAGUUCAGGGGGAAUGGCAGAGGAUUAAGCCAUAGGCAGGAUUCAGGUUUUUUUUUUUUUGUUCAUUUCCCCCUAAAUCCCUCCCAAUCCAAGGGGAUUGGCUCACACCCGAACAAGGCCUCAUGGCUUCCUGGUACAAGCAUGAGGGAGCUCAGUCAAGGGAGGAGCCCGGCCAGGGAUCGAUCCCGCCGCCGCCGCCGCGCAGCCUCGCCAGGAGUGGGAGGAGCUCGUGCGAAGGGAAGGAGGGGAUCUCGCCACCGCCGUGCCUGGGGUGGGGGGCAUACGAGCUGGCGGUGCCAUAACUCCGGGGAGCUUGCCUCGCCUCGCCGCCGCUCUCUCGUCUCGUCUGCUCUGGUUGGGGAGUUUGAGGGAGAGACGCCUUGGCCUUGCCCUGGUUCGGGUCGUCGUUGUUCUGGCUUUUGCGGCUUUGGGCUCGAUGGAAAACGAAGUGGGUCUUCAAGGUUCAGAUCAAACGGUUGUUUUUUUUUAGCUGGACUGCCGACCGUUCGUGGUCCUGAUAACGGUCUUCCCAAAUACGGAGUAAACAACAAAAGAAAUGUACAAAACGAAUUCACGGUAAACAUGUAUUCUUUCUGCAACGCGCAGAUAAUAUUACGCUAGUGUACGUCUAUAUAUAUUCCGAUGGUGUUUGAGAUGCAGGACUAAGUCGACGUCCCGCGUGGCCACGGCGAGGCCAAGCUAGCUGUUGAUCAACAUCGGCAUCCACGAGGAACGCACCGCCACCGUUCCCGUCCGCGGGAAGAAGAGGCUUCAUGUGAAGCUGGGCGGCGGCAGCACGCUGGUUGCCAGGGCCAGGGGGACGACGUCGUCGUGCGAUGAGGUGUGUCGACCGCAGCGGGCACUCGACGACCACUCUCGCAUGCUGCGACAAUGGAUCAAGGGGAUUGCAUUUCCGAAUCACCAUCUCUAACAAGACUAGAUCGAGGGGAGUUAUACCUGGGCAUUCUAGGGCCGGGCUGGACCCUCAAGACUGAAGCCCGAGCCCGGCCCGGCAAAAAGCCCGAAGCUCGGCAAGGACAAUGUACAGGUCUGAAGCUCUUAAUAACGCAGCUAACAGUUCAACAGCUACAUAAUUACAUGCAUAAUAAGCCUCCAUAGGCUAUAGCCGAGCCACACAUGCAUAAAAGGUUCAGUUUCAUCUACUGUCCAGCACCAACGCCAUAAAUUAACUACUACAAGUACCAAAUAAAGUUUCAUCUUCCAAAACAUUGGUCUACAAACAACAUGUAACAAGAACCAUUUUGUAGCAUCAAAAGCAACAGCAGCAGCCAGCUAUCACAAACAGCAUGUAAUAAGAAUCUGAUGAGAGCUCGUUGUCAUUAGGAUUGGCAUUUGAAGAUUGUCCUUGCUUUUCCCUUUCCUCUUUCCCACCUACAAUUAAAAGAGUAACAAUUAAAUUCACCCUCAUGUGAAGGGCUUGCUCUGCUGGUGGGCGAGUGGCCGAUUGGGGAAUGGGGAUUUGGUUUCUAGGGUUCGGUCUCUUGCCGGGCUGCUCGGUGCUAAUUGGAUGGGCUGUAUUUUCUCUGGUCUACUUGCUACUGUGACAUAUUACUGGGCCGGGCUGAAUUUUAAAACCCGGCCCGAAACCUGUCUCGGGCUGAAUAUUGCGGCCCGAGCCCGACAACGCCGGGCUCGGGCUGCCCAUGCUCAGGUCUAAGGGGAGUGUCCCCUGUUGUUAGUAUUACUCUUUGAAUCUUUUAUUUUCGAUGAAAUCAUCAUUACUUGAAAAGAAGAAUGUAUAUUUCUCAUUCGAUUUACAAAUAGUUAUUUCCCACAAACAUAGCCUUUAGAUAGAGAUCUUCUUCGUCGUUUAUACAUGUAUGAAUGUUGUCCGAAUCUCAAUGUUACAUCGGACGGUUGUUAGCAUCAACUCAUAAAUAGUUAUUUCUCAAUCGCAUAAGAAAUAACAAAAGCGUAAAAGAUUUUACAAAAAUUGACCAUCACAAUGCAUGGUGUCCUUCUUUUACUUCACGCAUUUGUUGAUACCCUCCUCCUGUAUUUUGCUUGCAGAGAUUUUUCCCAUUAUGCCAUCACAUUUUCUUGUUCUUAUGCUUUAUGGAUUUUGUGUGUUAACAUACCAUCUUUUAUUUACUCCGUCAAUCUUCCAUCUAAUGGCCCUGAUCACUGGAUACAUCCCCAUAUUGAUGAUUUUUUCUUUAAACUUGUCAAACAAGCCUGAAACAUCUUAUAUUUAGGAACAUAUAUUAUCUAUUCCCUCCGUUCCUAAAUACUUGCCGUGGUUUUAGUGAAAAUUUGCCACCACCGUUAAUAUGCCAUGAUAGAGCUUACAUUCCAGUUUAAUAUGCCACCACCGUUCAGCCAGAGUCUUAUGUAGUCCUGUUACGUGUUAUGUGUCUUUUCUGUUGAAUCAUCAUUUGAGGAGAUAUCAUCAAUAGUUAGAAGAUGAUCGUCUCGUAAGUUCACAUAAAAAAACGGCAGCAUUUUCUUCGUAAAGAUAAAAAAACCGCAGCAUUUGCAUUACAUGUGCUAUUCCAUUCUAAUCGCAUACCACCAAUAUGCUUAUAUGCACGAAGCAAUGCAAGUAAAUUUAAGCAAGUUCUAUUAAAACUCUGAAUAUCCAACUGAUAAAUUCCACAAGCAUAUAAAACUGGUGUAGACUACAUAACGGCCGGCAAUAAAAACUAAGCAGAAGAUUUCAAUUUAUCCGUCGUACUCUCCAUCAGCAAACUUCUUCUCGGGGUAGAAGACAGCAUCCACCACCUUCCCGUCAAACCUCCUCCCAUGCAUCCCUGCCUUCGCGUUGGUCGAGCCAUCCACAUCUGCAUACUCCAAAAACACCUGCAAAGCAGAAGAAAAAUCAGAAUUGGUACAUUCCCAGGCAAUCCGUCACGAUGCUGAUUCGCGCAAAAUCAGGACUCACCUUGCCAACUCCAGCAACAGGAACACCAUUGGGAUGGGGUCGUGGGAUCACGGCUUGCACCAAGUUACCUGUCCGAGUUUAUCAGUGAGAACAUACACAGGAAAGAGAGAAAAAACAAACAUAUAAUCAAUCAAAUCCAGGUGAAAAAGAUUAGUGUCUUCUGUAGGUUAGGCCCGAUUGAGAGUUUUGCAUGAGGUCGGAUUAUAAAAGACUCGGCAAUGGUAUUAUGUGGCACUACAAAACAGACACACAGAAAGAAAACACAAAAAAGAAAACCAGUUCAGUAACUGAGCCAAACACAUUGAUAAAAACAGAGUAUAGAAGAGUACAAGAUAUUUAGUUCAGGAGUUUCAUGCUGGUUACCAUAUUUGCGCCCUUCAAAAGUCAUGUCUUCCAAGAUGUCUUUGUAUUCCUCAUCAUUUCUCAAGUCAUCUUCUGAAACCACCUGGGUCAAGCAUACCACCUUUGUCGGUAUGGCUCCACCAACUUCGUACACAAGUUUCUGCUCAGAAAUCAACAGCAUGAGAAAGUGAAAGGCUAUAUAAACUGAUUGUUUUAUAAGAUCGUGCCUCUUAAGAGCUAAAGUUGUACCUUCAUUUGUGCCUGAUGCUGUGCCUGCAACAGUAUGUUUUCAUGCUCUGGCCUAGGUUCAGCAGCUCCUUGGUUUGCUCGCCUAACUGUGAGAGUCCGGUCUCCCAACUGGAUACCGUUAAGAGCAGCACAUGCAAUGUCGGUGACAGCCAGAUCCUGGUAUACACAGAAGGCAUAGCCCUUCGAGUUGCCAGUUUCCCUAUCCUUCACAAUAUCAAAUCCACGAAGGGGCCCAAAAGUUUCAAGCAACUCCUGCACUUGAGCCUCUGUGAAAUAAUAGGGCAGACCGCCAACAAAAAUGCGGUCAGGACCUUCUAAACCUCCGGCUGAGCCAGGUGUCAAACCAACAGCAGCAAGAUUGAGAUUGGGGUUUGGCUGGCUUGGACCUAACACAGCUGCCUGGGAAGGAUUGUAGUCUGUUGGCCUCCUAACCUUCACUGGUGCUCCCUCAAACAAUAUACCAUCCAAGGCCAUUGCAUUGCUAGCUUCCUCCACAGACCUCAUCUCAACAAAUGCAAAUUUCUUGUCAUGGUUUAUGUAUACAUUAACAACUGCAUCACCUAGACCAGCUGCGUUUCCUCCAAUAGCAGCCAUAACAUGAUUGAAGUAUAUAGCAACCGUCUGCAGAAGGAAGAACGAAAUAGUUAGCACAUGCCACAUAUGGAGAAAGAGACACCAAGAAAUAACAAGUUACUCAAGAAAUUACCUGUUCAUUAGCGCUUGGAGGAAGUCCACCGACAUAAACACGCCGAGCAUGCCGAGUAGCCUAAGACAAGGGUGGUAAAACAAUGAUAUAUAUCAUAGAGCAAAAGUAGCUGAAGCAUGUACAUCAGGGAGCAAAAGUAGCUCAAGGAAACUCAUACCUGUUGUGUCAUUGCUUGCGGCUGAAUAACAUGUGGAUUGAUGCAAACAGAAGUGAAAAUUAGAAACCAAUAAUGAAACAUCAAUCAAAUAAUAAACAAUUAAAACAUGAUAAUAGAUCAUUGCUAGUUCAUUCUGCCAUCAUCAGAUAAGUUGCAAAUCAGAGUGAAGGAGCACAGUACUUACCUGUCCUGCUAUGGGUAUAUUAAACAUGUUUGGAAGCAUCGCAGGAAUAGCAGCAGGAACUGCAGGUAGCAGACCUGCAACGCAUCGAAAGUUUUUUUAAGGCAAAGUAAACACAUAUAGAAGAAGUAAAUUUAGGAUAACAAUGAUUUCAAGGUUGGUUCUUAAAUACAUGUUCAAGACAAGGCAAUACGUAUCAAGCAGAAUAGUAAACUUAUAGGGUUAAUGUGUAAAAAUAGAGACAUUCAAGCAGCAGCAGUUGUUUAUGUAAGUUCCUGCUUAAUAACUGCUUAUCAGGUCCCUUCCCAAUAAUAUAAAUUUAUAUGUCAAGAAUGUAAAACGGAAGGAUCCAACAAUGUUGUUUGUCCCCACAUACCUGGGGUUACACUGGGAGCAGCUAUAGAAAUGGUUUGUGAUGGUCCCUGAUCAAAUCCACUCACACGCUUGCUGGUUCAAUAAAGCAGAUGCUAGCAGGUAAUUCAGCAAAUGGAGAAGAAUAGUGCAUUACCGUAAGAAAACAGAGAUGGCUAAUAUGUACAUGAGAAAAACAAACCAUGCAUGACUAGACCUGUACCAACUACACGUGGUAUUAUCAAUUAUCAUCCAUGGUAUAGCAAGAAACGAAAUGGUAGUUAAAAUUUGUCCUUACAUUCUGUCAACAUUCCAACCAUACAAAACAAAGAACUAAGUGCAUUUUAACUGUCUUCCUCCAAAAAUUGAUUGAAGGUGCGCAAGCAAAUUUAGUGCUAAUGAUAUCAAAACCAAACAAAAUGUUAAUAAUAAGCCUUUGGAUGACAUAUAACACAUACCUUUGAGCCCUUGAACGGGAGCGGGAGCGGGACCGUUGCCUGCGAUGGCCAUCUCUAUCACGCUCUCUUCUGCAUUAUCACAGCAUACAUCAGGUUUUUGGAAUAAUUUUAUCAAGAUAGAAUUAUGCUUUAAGGACAGCAAUGUUUUCACAUCAAAUAUUCCACAAGAAAGUGGAACCUAAUCCAUUUAUGUCCAAAAACAACUGAUUAGCAGCAGGCAUUGGCAAACCAGUUAAGCAUAUAUUAUAAAAACCAACUAGUAAGCACCAUAACUACAAGAUAACACACCAGCAACCUUAACUACAUACCCGUCCUCUAACUGAUUAAGUGAGUUGGGAAUGCCAAUUUAGCUAAAAGGUUAUUGUGCGGAAUCACGAUGUAAAGUUUGAACCGGUCAAUAGUUUUACACAGGUAAAUUCCAAAACUCAAACAGUAUCUGCUAUAUAUGCCCCCUGUAAAAAGCAUACCAGUGAAAGUAAAAUACUACACCUUGCCAAUUUUCAGAAGAUAAAAAAAGCGGCCCGUUGAGUUCAAAGGAGAAAAGGUUUCAACAUAGUAAUUAACUACUCCCUCCAAUCCUAAAUUGCUGUCGUUGUUUUAUUUCAAAUUCGAACUAAAACAACGACAAGAAUUUAGGAUCGGGGGGAGUAGCAAUUACUAUUUCAUAGCUCGCGAUGCUCGAAGAACCAUAAUUAAAUCCAUAUAUGCAUUACAGAAAUCUAGACCCAGUACCUUUCAGACUCAUGAUUACGGCUCCGACGAUAAUCAUGAUCAUCAGAGCGACCACGGUGCUCCCUUCUUUCACUUCUUUCACGAUGCUCCUGAUGGUGGCGAUCACGAUCCCUGUUCCGGUCACCAUGCUCAUAGCCCAUCUCCCUGUCCCCGUACCUUGCUCUCUCUCUCCCACGGUCUCUGUCACGCUCCCUGUCUUUGCCCUCCUCUCGUUCUCUAUCCCUCUCUCUAGAUUUUGAGGACCUUUCCUUGUGAGGCUGUUCAUCAUGCUGGAAAAAAAAAACCUUCAUCAGAUUUAAUUCCAAAAUGCAGGGCUUCCUACAAGUAAUAUGGCAUAAUCGAUAGUCGGUACUCGCUACAUAGAACCAAAUAUGGAGUACAUAAAUUACUAUCAGGUGGGAUUGAAAUCUGACAGAUCGAUCGUCACAGAACACCAUGUCCGAGCACGAACAAAACAUGUUUAAAAGCUAUAAAAAAAAGUUCCUAGCAUCCCGUCCUCCAGCAUUAGCUCGCCGUUACCCUAAUCAGGAGCGGUUUCAAAUUCGCACAGACAGCAACCAAAUCUAGCCUAAUUGAACCGAUCCAACCGAAAUCCCCCCGCAACCAGAUCAUCAGACCUCGCCGCAGAUCACCUCACCGAAACAAGACCUGAAUGCCUCACCCAACCCACCUCGUACCGUCGUACGGGCGAAACCCUACACCCUAAGCGCGAAAACUAGAAGGGCUAGCUACGCGACCAAUCGGGGUGAGAUUCAGAGGCGCACCUGGGAGCGGGCGUCGCUGGACAGAUACCUCCCGGUGGCGGCGGUGCCCUCGGAGGGUUCAUCGUACUCUGCCAUGCGGCGCGUGGACUCCGUGCGGGGGUGGCGGUGGCUUGGUCGAGGUCGGUUCGUUCGAUUCCGUAUGGGGGGUGUCUUCAAAGCUCUGGUUCGUGGUUCGGCUAAGUUCCAGCCAACCCGUCACUUAUAUAAACAGCGCCAAUUGGAGUCGGUUUAUGUACGUCGGUUCUGAAUAUUUUACAGUUCCUGGUCGUAGAAAAACACAGUUCGAUCAUAUUCAGAAUAAUUGAAGUGCAACUCGAUAAAGAUUUGUAUCUGAAACUCUGUUUUGCAAAAGUUUGAUUCAGAGUUGUAUCUGAAUCGCGCUACACUGAAACUUACUCAAUUCAUCCAGAUUUACACUUUCCCAGAUAUGCAAAAAUCAUCUCUGUACAUACAGUUCUCCUAUAAAUAAUCUACACACACUGGUGACUGAAUUUACAUUACAUCCAGUUUAAUAAACUAGACAUAGAACACCUGCCCAACAUUGAGCAGGCUCUCAUGGGGAACAUUGAAGAUGACGCUGUUCUCCCUGCAGAUCUUCCUCAGGAAGGCGUACAGGUAGUUGAUGGCGAUCUUCUUCACCAGCCCCGAGUCCCUGCGGGCCCUGAUGACGGUGUUCCCGAGGAUGUGCACCACCCCGGCGUCCCUGCAUGAGUUCAGGAAGGCCACCUCGUCGCCCACCGUCUCGAACGCCGCCGUCGUCGUCUGCCCCGACAACAUGACCCGUCCAUUGUUGUUCUCCGGAGAACGCACAGGCACGAUGGAGUCAUGGGAGGCGUAGCUGCUGAGCUCGGCGAUGGACCUGGCGUUGCUGCUCACUUCGUUCAGCUCCUGCUGGUCCGCCAAGGCGCUGUAUUCGUCCGAGUCCGUGUACUCCUCCAUCAUGCUCUCCAGCCGGACGAAGAGCAGCAGGCUGUCGAAGAGCAUCUUCUCGAAGUCGUCGUCCUUCUUGUGGAUGUCCUUGUACCCGUACCGCGCCACGCAGCGGAACAUGUGGAAGUUCUUGGGGCCGAUCCGCUUCACCAGGAACCUCUCGUCCGUUGGCACGGUGUAUACCGGGAGGUACUUGACGCAUACGAACACCAGAGCGGAGUGGAUCGCUGGGAGGUUGGUGAUGAAGUGCGAAAAUAUGUGAGGAACACCGCGCGCCAGCUCCGUGUACACCAGCCCUAUCCCGGGUACCCUGACAAGACCAAGGCUCGGGCCAAGGCCUAAGAUCCAUGCCAUGGACACCUUGCUGUGCAUCUCGAACUCAUAGCGCUUGAGUGUGCCGUAAUGCCAAACGUACAUGACAAGGAGGAUGGCCACGGCGAACACAAGAGGAACCCAACCACCCUGGUCGAUUUUCCGCAUAACGGCAGUCAAGUACGGGAUCUCCACGACCAAUGAAAACACGGUGAAGAGGACGACCAAGGUCCAGUGGCUGCGCCAUACCAGCAGCAUUAUGGGGAUCAUGAGAAAUGUUGUGACAAGCAUAACCAUUAUCACAGCAGUACCUGUUUAGUCAACAACGCUCAUGUUAGCAACAGAGCAGUAAUGCACAUUGCAAACGUGAAAAUUCUAUAUCAAGAGAGAUAAGGGAGUUCCUUUUUUACCAUAUGCAUUUGCAAUUUGGGACUGUUUUUUAAAUCCAGCGGUGACAGCUAUGCAGAGAACCAUAAGAAUCCAAUUUAUAUCAGGACUGUAUAUCUGGCCAAGAUACUUCUUGGAGGUAUGGAUGAUCUUCACUCUGGGGAAGCAUCCCACUGCAAGCGCUUGCUUGAUGAUUGAAUACGUCGCGGAUAUAGUUGCCUGGCUGGAAACUAUUGCGGCAGCUGUUGCAACGGCAAAUGCUGGCCAAAGUAUACGAUCUGCACUAAAUUGUCAUGCUGUUAUGGAUUCCCAUAGAUACGGUGACUGGGGAAUUAUCAUGUCUGAAUUUUACCUGGAAGAGAAUAAUAGAAAGCAUGGGAGACAUUUUUUUUGUAUGUGGCUAUGUAGGCAGCCUGUCCAGUAUAUUGCAAAAGAAGGCAUGGGAACACAACCGUAGUGAAAGCAAUCUGUGUAUUGAAUGAUAAAGGAUGUUAUCAAGCAAGCAGAUAGAUGGAGUUAUGUACUCAAGUGGACGUUCUAUUAAACAUGUAGAUCUGCCUCUACAAUAUUUCUACUGAAUGCAUGCCAAAUGGUACCUGAAUAGCUUGCACAGGAAAAUAUGAAAGGUCUGCAAAUAGUGCUUCUGUCCCUGCAGCAUGAGCAAAAAAAGUCAGCUAUGCUUAUUAGCCAGUUUAAAAAGGACAUGCCUCCCUAUGGAAGUGCGAAAUCAGGUAAGAAUUACAGACCUGUUAUGCUGAGCAUAAUUCCUCCUAGGGAAGCCCAGCUAGUCUUCCCUCGCUUAAAGUAACGAUAUACAUAAAUAGGAUUGAACGCCUUAAGAACCGACCUAUCAUAUGUAUAAAUGUUCACCGCUCCCAGAACUCCAAUAAGUAUGAACCAAAUGAAUACUAUCGGUGCAAAUAGCCAGCUGACUUUAUCAGUACCAUAGUGUUGCAUGCUGAACAAUCCGAUCAAUAUCACCACAGAGACUAUUACAACCACAUCUGACAAGGAAAAGAAAUUACAGUGGCUCAGUUACCGAGGUCUAAUUCGUGGUAGUAUUUGUCUGCUCUAUCAGGUUAUACCAAAAGUAAAUGUUCCCAUGCCCUAUGAUAAAAGACAGUGCUUCAAAUCACAGUUAGCAUGUCGAGUUUACCAUUGCAUAGAAAAACAAUAUGGUUAAUUACUUAAGGUUGUUAUCAUACAUCAACAGUUCUGCUUAAAUUAACAUCAAUGGCAGAUUUGUCAUCUUGCUCUGAGAUGCAGCAGAAGCUAUAUAUAAGAGGACAUGGUAAAGCUAGUAAAAGCAGAAAAAAAAGUACUAACUUCAACAUUGCGCAUGUACCGUUUAUCAUUCUGGGUUCUUCCACUUGUAUUCCACCAGUUGCCGAAAGAACUGAUAAUUGUAAAGCACAUGUUAGCAUCAGUUUACUUGGGAAAAAGUUUGCAUCAGAACUAUGAAAUAAGCCUCGCAAAGAGAUACAUAGAACAGUGAAAAUGGAUAGAGAAAGUGUAAAACAAAACUUGCCAAUUGUGCUAAUUAAAUGUUUAAAGGGAUAGCCAACAUGCAUUUUUGUUGCUGAAAGUUUCUGGCAACCUAAUUUGAUUCUAAGUAAGCCAAGGAGGCAAGGACAGUGUACCAGUUCAUAUCUGGCUGAAAGCUCUUGGUUAUCCUAACAAUACCCACUUUGAUGAAAAACUGAUAGUAAUUAAUGAUAAGAGAAACCAUAGAGAUGCAGGUAGUCAGGUACUCACCUGAUAUGGCAGGAGUGAGAAUUCCAUCUCCAACAGCCAUGCAAGCACCAAAAAGUACAAGAAUAAGAAUGGCAUUCUUUCGGAAUUGGUGCCCCUCUAACCAUCUUUUGAUCUUUGCAGCAAGAGAUUUCUCAUCGUACGUAUGACGGCUGUAUGUUGUUAGCUCUUCAUCGGUUCUAUGUUGAUUGGGAAUGAUGUUUAUCUUUGCAUGCCGACAAAGCAGUGAAUAAAGAGCAAAUGUUCCACCUGAAAUUAGAAAUUAGCUAUAAGCAUGUUGAUACUCAUAGCGUAAAACAUGCAGAGAAAAAGAAGGCAGGAUGGAUUAGGAGUAAACUCAUAAGUAUCACCAUUUUGGGCUCCAUUGUGCAACACACUAGUGUGCUAUACUACUAUAAUAUGCCAAUUUAUUCUCAGGUACUGUGCAUGUUAUCAUAACCAUACCUUGGUGCAGUAAACUUUUUGUCCCUACAUGAGGCAACUGCGCAGACAAAAAUGUGGUAACUUAGCAGAAGGGCACGAAUUCAUCUUAGAGUGAUGGCUUUAUAGUCUACUGGCCGCCUUUUCCUCUAAAAGGAUUACUUAAAAUGGCAUACUCCCUCCGAUUGUACUAAAUCUGCGACAAGUAAUAUGGGUUGGAGGGAGUACCUUUUUUGUGAGGGGGAAAUAACUAAUGUGUUUCAGAGGUGCAAAAAUCUGGCUUUUCUCGAGACCAUGGAAAAGUGUGUUUGUAUUGGAAAGUUUAAAGUUCAGAAUGAACAUGCUAUUAUCUUUGGAAGAGUACCAUUCAUUCAUUCAGAGCUGCACCAACAGAAGAACUAAAUAAUUGUACUGCUGCAUGGACUUUAGGAAGGUCUUGACCAGAAUUUCCUUUGUAUGGUCACCCUAGGUCCCUAAGACAUGAGAUUUCCAUUUUCAGGUGAUCCUCAAAUUGCUGUUGAACAUGCUGUAGGUUCUUACUGAAUCUCAACAAAUAAGACAGAUUGCCUAUGUAAAAUCUACUCUUCUUACAACAUAGCGAGAAAAAAUCCUACCUUGGCCGUUAUCAUUUGCCCUCAACACAAUGAAAACGUAUUUAACAAGUGGAAUGAGAGUAAGGGAGUAGAUAAUAAGUGACAGUGCUCCAAUAAUUUGCUCCGUGUCUUCUAUUUCAUGAGGAAAGAUGUUGGAGAAGACAUAAAGAGGUGAUGUGCCUAAAUCUCCAAAUACCACACCAAGGCUUUGGAAAGCUAGUUGUAGCAGCAAAAUUGUCGGGUAGGUCUGCAGAUACAAGAGGGGAAAAUAAAGGGAAAUACAAAGUUACUUAUCUUACUUUAGCUAUUCAGUUAUCAGGAAUUCAGAAUAAAUACACCAAAUCACUUUGCAUCUUAGGCAAUAUCUCAAAUCAACUGAACUGGUAUAACCAUGUAUACAGCCAACUACCAGGGAGAAUGUACUACUGAAAAGAAUACUGCACUAGAUUAGAACACCAAAUUCUAAUGUCGAAACAUGGCAGGGAAAUAGGAGUAAAUCUUGUCGAGGAUGACGAAUAAACAAUUUAGUAAUUGGCUUAACAUCCUGGCUACAACCAGGAGUAAUUGGCCUGCAAGUAGCGGUGCCUUAUACUAGUAAAGCUCUGAAUCUAACAAAACACAAAAAUGCCAAUGUCCAUUGAUGAAGUGAUGUUGUCAACGAAACAUGUGAACUGUAGACUGUAGUUAGCAGCUUGUGGUCUUCCUACUAUGUUUCGUGACAUUUAUGCAAUGUCUUAAACCAAAUUAUAUUAUCUUCGGCAUGAUUUAGAUAUCAAAAUGGCAAGAGCAAAAGCUUAAAUGAUGAUCACCUUUUGUCUGUACAUAUUCCUGAGUCUCCCGGCCUCUGCAUCCAUAGGCGGAUCAAUAUUCCUUUCCAGUUCCCACAUUGCCCCCUUAUGCGGAUGCUCAUUUGUUGAACUUGAAAUGGUCUCCAUGAGUUCAGACCAAUUGGCAGCAGUAUCUUACAAACUGCAGGGCAAAAACUACCUCAGCCUAAUUGUAUUUGUUUUUCCUCUCUUGUAUAUAGAGACAGCACAAUAAUUAAACCCAGAACAGUGACAGUUACGGGUAGAAUUACAAGUUGAAAAUAAAUAAAUACUAAUAUGUGAAAUGAAAACAACAAGAGAUUAAGGAAAUCACACACACAGCUGACAGCCUCCCUCGCAUAAAAGCAAACCAGCAGCACAUAAUUAUUCGACCUUAAAUCUGAGCACAACUGCACAAUAUUCCAAUGGCGUCUAGGAAAGUAAAGCCGGAGCUAAGAGGCGUCCAGGACAUAGUACAAUUUUUACCAUUCAAAUUGCAGGCUUACGAUUCACGAAUGCUCAAAAGUAACAAAAAGGGAUCAAUGAUUCCGUGCCAUUCCCGCCGUACGAGCCGUAUCUACCAACAAUCGAAGGGAAAAUCCAUCGCUAACCUGACGAUCCUCGGAUCCCAAGCUCACGGAGAGUGCGCCGAAAGCCCAAAACUUGCCAAAGGCCCGUGGUCGCUCGUUCAGAACCUAGAGCGCCAGUCCCACGAGACCCAUUGCCAAGAUCGAGUCGCGUUGCCCUCGCUUCCCUGCUCACCACGUGCAACCGCGUGACGAACACCCGCCCCCAGGGACCGUGGAGACCUCGUCGCCCAUAUAGGAGGGGGUGAGGCGGGGAAGAAGAGGGGCCGCCGCCUCGCCGGUAUGUACGGCGUAAUGGACUCGUUCGGCUCCGGUGGGGUGGGGGGUGGAUGUGCGCCGCCGGGCGGGGGCACAAGAUUGGAUUUUUAAGCCGAGCAAAUGGAAUUUUGCUUCUCGAGGCGCAGGUUUGGUUGUCGGAUUAUAAACGUGAUUGAUGUGGAGGAGCUGAGAGGAGUGGAGAUGAUUUGGAACUUGUCGCUGUAAUGGCUAAUGGCCAUUGGCUAGUUGCUGUCGCGCUGCCAAGAUUAUGCUACUAUCAAGGACCGAAAUCUUACGAGAAACCGUAUUGCUAACUUGUCUUUUGCGUGUGAUGUCCAUGUCAUCAAUAAGAGUGAUCGGCAAUUUUGAUUGGCGUACGUGUGGCUAAACUUAGCACUGGUUCAGCCUGAUGAACUGUCUUGGUUUAGCCACUUGCAAAUGACGACGAUCGAAGAUGCAGCUCAGCAAUUGAAUAGCAAGCUCAUCAUUGGCUUUUUGUCGGAUGAUUAAUUAGCUGGAGAAACCGCGUCAUCAUCUAUUUCCCCAUUCACCAAGUACGACAAGAUAAGGUGGAUCGCAGUAAUCAAUUCGCUGACUCGCUUGCUUUUGCCAAGAAAAGACAAAUUAGCAUUGUGCUAGGAAAAAAAUUGUUACAAGUCUAAGACUAAGACUAGACCGAAAUAACCUGCUAUUGAGUGUCAUAAUUUUGUCAAAAUACACAUAUACCUACUCACUAAAACGUCUUUAGACAAAGUUGCGCCUACUUAAUAUAAGACGGUGGGAGUAUUGAUCUAAACAUGAUGCGGGGCAACCGAUAGACACAUGCGAUAUUUUUUAUCUCAUUAACUAACAAUGUUGUCAACAACUAUAUAUAAAUAUAAUAAAACUUUUUGUUAUGGAAUUCUUUUUCUUUCUUAAAGCGACGGACUUCUAAAUUUUCAUAAGGUCCUCCAGGAAUUUUCUCCACGGCUUGUUGAAUAAUUUUGACAGAUUCUCUCAUUUCACCGAUUCGUACUAAAUAGCGAGCUAAUGAAUCUCCUUCUUUUUGCCAUUGGACUUUCCAACCAAAUUGGUUGUAAGACUCAUAAAAAUCUACUUUACGAAGAUCCCAUCGUAUUCCAGAAGCUCGUAACAUGGGUCCUGAUAAGCCCCAAUUUACUGCUUCUUCUCCGCUAAUAAAACCUACUCGCUCAACUCGUUCCAAAAAAAUAGGAUAUAAGUGUGUUUUUGUAGCUUUAAGUGACCAAUGUCCUCUAGUUUUAUUGAGAUGCUUUAAUUUAAAGCUUCACAUAACAAUAUUUUGUGCUUUCUUGGUGCUUGAAAUAUGUUUGCAGUCUGCAUGGCAGGAGUGUUACGCUUUCAGAACUUUAGGACUGUGUUUAACUAAUAAUGUCUUUUCGAAAAAAUACUAACUAUGUUUGACAAGUCACUACCUAGUUUUAAAAUACACCUGCUAUGUGAGAAAAAUGGUACUCCCUCCAAUUCAUAAUAAGUGUUGUACUAAAUCUGAGACAUUUGUUAUGGAUCGGAGGGACUAGAUUGUUAAUUUCGAUCGAGAUCGAGAUGAUGAAGUAACGGGAAAUCCAAGCAUGAGAUUAAAGGGAAACAUGCAACACGGGUGGUGCCUUCUAUAAGGUAGAGGUUGGUUGUUUAGGUAAUUAUUACUUUAGGUAUUUCUUUAUGUGCCUUUCCUUGUCUUUUACAUUCUAAUAUGACUAGCUAAAUAGAGUGUGUUGCCGCAGAUCAACAAAUUGCAUUACCUCAAUACCUUUAUUUGCUCCUAACAUACAAGUUUUUGCUAUAAAAAAAUAUGUUCUCAUGUAUAAAAAGAUCACUAAGCAGAAAAUGAACGGGCUGCUUGCCACCACUUGAGUCCACCUGCAACAUUGAAAACAGUAUUAAUUGUUGGGGUUGACACACAAGAGACCUCUUGUUAUGUGUUUCUAGCUAGGAUUGCUUGCCUAGCUCCCACAGAUUGAUAAACCUUUAGUUCCUUUUUUUUAAAAGGAAAGCCACCAUGGCUUAUUGGAGUACUUAGCAAAUAGAGUUACAUCAUCCAUGAUUCCAUUGAUAAGGAAGUUGGGAGGCUCUAGCUAAAGAAGUAAAGGGCCAUCGGCCAUACUAGCUAGGAUUUUAAUAAACCUUAAGUCACUCUUAAAAGGAAAAUGGUUGGUGGCCAGCCCAACAAAUCCUGCAUCGCCGUCAACUUUGCCAUCAAGCAUUUCUCUAGUGCACUAUUAGGAAAGCGAAUUAAGACCACCAUAGGUAAAAAAAUUAUACUCCUGUAUAGAUUUGUCAAUAUUUCCAACUUUGCCAAUCUUUGCAUAGUCUUUUUUUUUUGUGAUAAGCAGUUUAUAGUCUGUUGGACAACUAAAAUACGAAAUCUAGGAUGUAGCAUGUCCUCUUAAUUUUCUUGCAGUCCUGGAGAGAAGCAAGACAAAUUUUGUCUAAAUCCUCGCAUCAAAAAAGAGAGAGAAGGGAAGGCCCGGUAAGAGAAGUUCCCUCUUCUCAAUGGAGUCUUUCAUAUGAAAUGAAAUGAGUAACGUAGUAGAAAUUGAGUUAGGAGGCAAAACAGACAGCAACACGAGCAUGACUACAUUCCUAACCACCUUUGUCAUUUUAUUAGGCACACAAACCUAGCUACCUGAACGGGUCCAGUUUCAUCUAAAAAAAACACGGUCCAGUUGUGCCCGCAUGUAGCAGUUGUACCGGAACAAACCACCGGCCCAAACAAAGGAACGGGCCCCAGUAUUUUUUUUUUUUUUUUUUUUUUUU